AUGCGGCAGAUCGCUCCAUCUCCAUCUUCGACAGGGAAAGGAAUCGCACCGUGGAUAAUUGCCAUAUGUGUAGCUGCACUUGUUGGACUAGUUGCUUUCUACUUCAUUGUUUACUACCGCCGUCUCAGAAGAAACAGAAAAGGUAAACUGAGAUUACCAGAAAAGCCAACGCACACGUUGCAAGCAGGAGACGUGCUAGUUUGGGAAAUGGAAGCAGAGUUCCCUGAGUUUUUGGUCUUGGACUUUCAUCAGAUAUUGCAGGCUACAAAUAACUUUUCCGAAGAAAACAAACUUGGAGAAGGUGGAUUUGGUCCUGUAUAUAAGGGCCACUUUGCUGCGGAGAUGGAAAUAGCAGUUAAGAGACUUGCUUCUCAUUCAGUACAAGGUUUUGAGGAGUUUAAAAAUGAAGUUCAACUCAUAGCCAAACUUCAACACAGGAAUUUGGUUAGGCUGUUGGGAUGUUGCUCAGAAGGAGAUGAGAAAAUACUGGUAUAUGAAUACAUGCCAAACAAAAGCUUGGACUUCUUCAUCUUUGAUGAAAAUACAAAAGAUUUAUUGGAUUGGAAGAAACGUCUCGCAAUAAUUGAAGGAGUAGCCGAAGGACUUGUUUAUCUACAUAAGCACUCUCGGCUGCGUGUCAUACAUAGAGACCUUAAACCAAGCAACAUUCUAUUGGACAACGAAAUGAAUCCAAAAAUUUCUGAUUUCGGAAUAGCAAAAAUAUUCAGCUCAAAUGAUAGCGAAGAAAACACUACAAGAAGAGUGGUUGGUACACAUGGCUACAUGGCUCCAGAGUAUGCUUCUGAAGGGCUCUUCUCUAUCAAAUCUGAUGUAUUUAGCUUCGGUGUUCUGACUCUUGAGAUCCUUAGCGGGAAAAGAAAUUUCAGUGGCUGUCAAUGCAAAGAUUUUAUCAAUAUACUUGCAUAUGCUUGGCAUCGAUGGGAAGAAGGAAGAUGGAUCGAACUGAUUGAUGCAUCGUUGCUCCCGCAGUGUCACUCAGGUGAAAUGACGAGGUGCAUUAAUAUUGCACUAUUAUGCGUACAAGAGAGUGCAGUUGACCGACCAACAACAUUGGAUGUUGUUGCAAUGCUCAGUAACAAACAUAUGUUCCUACCUGAGCCUAAGCACCCAGCAUACUUAAAUUUAGUGGAAGGCAAUGAAGAACCAGUCACCAUUACUCAGUUUGACCAAAUUAGACCCACAACUACAAGAUAUUGA
RNAcentral lists this ribosomal RNA (1218 nucleotides) under Triticum aestivum (bread wheat). RNAcentral's name for it is "partial small subunit ribosomal RNA". Lineage: Eukaryota; Viridiplantae; Streptophyta; Magnoliopsida; Poales; Poaceae. The record is from RNAcentral.